RNAcentral lists this transfer RNA (28 nucleotides) under Ursus arctos (brown bear). RNAcentral's name for it is "partial tRNA-Pro". The record is from RNAcentral. Lineage: Eukaryota; Metazoa; Chordata; Mammalia; Carnivora; Ursidae.
UGAUGGUGGAGCUGUUGCUUCUUCCUUG